RNAcentral lists this transfer RNA (63 nucleotides) under Rattus norvegicus (Norway rat). It matches the Rfam family "tRNA". Rfam says of the family: Transfer RNA (tRNA) molecules are approximately 80 nucleotides in length. Their secondary structure includes four short double-helical elements and three loops (D, anti-codon, and T loops). Lineage: Eukaryota; Metazoa; Chordata; Mammalia; Rodentia; Muridae. The record is from Rfam by way of RNAcentral.
GGGGAUUUGGCUCAGCGGUAGAGCGCUUGCCUAGCAAGCGCAAGGUCCUGGGUUCAGUCCCCA